Molecule: ribosomal RNA, 251 nt
Filed under: uncultured bacterium
Lineage: Bacteria
Description: partial 16S ribosomal RNA
Rfam family: Bacterial small subunit ribosomal RNA
Source: RNAcentral
UACGUAGGGUGCGAGCGUUGUCCGGAAUUAUUGGGCGUAAAGAGCUUGUAGGCGGUCUGUCGCGUCUGCUGUGAAAGUCCAGGGCUCAACCCUGGAAGGCCGGUGGAAACUGUCGGGCUAGAGUCCGGAAGAGGCGAGUGGAAUUCCCGGUGUAGCGGUGAAAUGCGCAGAUAUCGGGAGGAACACCAAUGGCGAAGGCAGCUCGCUGGGACGGUACUGACGCUGAGACGCGAAAGCGUGGGAGCAACAGG